RNAcentral lists this small RNA (216 nucleotides) under Staphylococcus aureus. RNAcentral describes it as "HMPRNC0000_1856". Lineage: Bacteria; Bacillati; Bacillota; Bacilli; Caryophanales; Staphylococcaceae. The record is from RNAcentral.
GCAGAGUUCCUACAAAAACUCAAUGGUGGUAUGGGAAUUCUACUAGGUGGUGUUCCAGGAGUACCUAAAGGUAAAGUAACUAUUAUCGGUGGUGGUCAAGCAGGAACAAAUGCAGCUAAAAUUGCACUAGGACUAGGUGCAGAUGUUACGAUUUUAGAUGUUAAUCCAAAGCGUUUACAACAAUUAGAUGAUUUAUUCGGUGGACGUGUACAUACA